Molecule: ribosomal RNA, 456 nt
Filed under: uncultured bacterium
Lineage: Bacteria
Description: bacterial SSU rRNA
Rfam family: Bacterial small subunit ribosomal RNA
Source: RNAcentral
UACGGGAGGCAGCAGUGGGGAAUAUUGCACAAUGGGCGCAAGCCUGAUGCAGCCAUGCCGCGUGUAUGAAGAAGGCCUUCGGGUUGUAAAGUACUUUCAGUCGUGAGGAAGGUGUUAAGGUUAAUAACCUUAGCAAUUGACGUUAGCGACAGAAGAAGCACCGGCUAACUCCGUGCCAGCAGCCGCGGUAAUACGGAGGGUGCGAGCGUUAAUCGGAAUUACUGGGCGUAAAGGGCACGCAGGCGGUUAAUUAAGUUGGAUGUGAAAUCCCCGGGCUUAACCUGGGAAUGGCAUUCAAGACUGGUUAGCUAGAGUCUUGUAGAGGGGGUAGAAUUCCAUGUGUAGCGGUGAAAUGCGUAGAGAUGUGGAGGAAUACCGGUGGCGAAAGGCGGCCCCUGGACAAAAGACUGACGCUCAUGUGCGAAAGCGUGGGGAGCAAAACAGGGAUUAGAUACC